UACAGAGGGUGCAAGCGUUAAUCGGAUUUACUGGGCGUAAAGCGUGUGUAGGUGGCCGCGUAAGUCGGUUGUGAAAUCCCUGGGCUUAACCUGGGAAUUGCAUCCGAUACUGCGUGGCUAGAGUUCGGUAGAGGGCAGCAGAAUUCCCGGUGUAGCGGUGAAAUGCGUAGAUAUCGGGAGGAAUACCGAUGGCGAAGGCAACUGCCUGGGCCUGAACUGACACUGUGACACGAAAGCGUGGGUAGCAAACAGG
RNAcentral lists this ribosomal RNA (253 nucleotides) under uncultured bacterium. Its description in RNAcentral is "partial 16S ribosomal RNA". It matches the Rfam family "Bacterial small subunit ribosomal RNA", at positions 524 to 776 of the family's 1533-position model. The record is from RNAcentral.